Sus scrofa (pig) is the source of this 3758-nucleotide non-coding RNA. The record is from RefSeq and is a predicted model, not a curated record. NCBI's taxonomy places the organism in Eukaryota, Metazoa, Chordata, Mammalia, Artiodactyla, Suidae.
CCCAGCAAAAAAAAAAAAAGAAAAAAGAAAGAAAAGCUCUAGAAAGUAAGAGAAGCACCCAUCUGGUCCUCUGAUUCCCCACCCCUGCUCAGAGAAAACCAGUCCUGCACUUACGCAGACAUGCACAGCUGCUCUUCAAGCCUCCAGAAUAACUUCUCAGAAACAGGCUUGUUUUCUGAAUUUCCCAGUUCCUUCCUGAAGGAAGGUUUCCCCAGCAGUCACUCCUGCAAGUGGCAAGAAACCACAGUUGGGAAUGAGGGGGGAGGCUCUCGCUGCCAGGGGUCCUCCUUACAGUUGGCAGCUGGAAAAUUCCGCUCAGUGGGGGUACAAUGGAGCAGGAACCGGUCCUGUUCAGACCCCCAGCAAGGAUGAGGUGUUUCUUGAGAGGCUGGGAGCUCAGCUGCAACUCAGGCGUCCUUGUGAAGAAAGUAAUGUUUUAAAGGAAACUGGGCAGAGCCCACCUGGCAAUCUUUACUUCUGGACCUCCUUGACAACAGACAACUCAGAGGAGCCUGGGAAAAGUAAAGGGACACUGAGAAGGGAUGUUCCAGGCAAGACGUAUAGAAGGUUUUCGGGAAUUGCCUUGUCUCUCGCAAGAGACGGUAUGCUGGUUCAAAAACCACAGUGCUCUGUGGUGUUUCCCCCAACCCCCGGAAGGUGUUUCCCUGUCACCCCUGGAGCUGACAUCAGAGAGCAGGGGAGCUGUGGGGACCCACCCAAGGGUGUCACAGCAGAAUUCAAAGCUGGCAGCUCCUGAGGGGAAGACCCCCGUCCAGAUACUGCUUGAGAGUCAAAGUAUGCUCUCCUCUGACAGCCCCAGUGAGAGGAGAGUGGAAUCAGACAAUGUGGGGUUCACUCUAGUGUCCCCUCAAACUGAUAUGCAGCAUAAAAAUGAAUGAGAACAUGCCAUCAUGAAAUGCUGUGGAUAGGCUAUAUCACAGGGAGAAUGCCAGAGCCUGGCUCAACGGAAGUGUGGAGAGUUCUCCUAAAAGCAGCCAGUCUCUGAUGACUUAGAAGCCGUUUGACCUGAUAUGUCCCCAAAGUUGUGUGGCUCCUCCAUUGAGUGUGUCAGAGGGCCCCUUGGAGAACGCUGUGUUUCACAUACAUUCAGACACCACUGUGUUCCAUGGACCCACUGCAGAGUCCUGUGGUAUGCACUGCAGCUCUUGAUUUAACCAACUGCCACCACCUGGGAUGGACAGAUCGGUACAGACACCCUGAGGGUCCUCGGGCACACAACGCAUGAGUAGAAGGAAAAGAUAACACCUUCAAGUCACCCCAUUUCCAGAGAGAUUUCCAAAACCAGUUUCAGGGAUCCUUCCCAUGCCAGGCUGUUGGUGGCAGCCUCUCCUGGAGUGAUGAGCCACAAUGUAAAUCAGAGCCAGGGGCCAGUGUACUGGAGAUGUAUUUCUCCUAUCUACUUGUGCUGAACAAGAUUGGGGUCUCUCUUCAGAAGAGGGGAACUCCUCUUUUCUUUUCCAGGGUCCAAGUCAGAGUUGGUAAUCACACCUCCAGAAGGGAGAGGCAAGUCUAGAGGUGCCAGCCUGGCCAGGGAGACCGGGAAGUGGAGAGAUGGGCAUGAGAGCCGUGCAGCUGUGGAAAGUGAGGGCAGCACCCAUCCCCAAGGAUGAGGCUACAUGCAAGAGGCAUCUCCGAAAGAGACCAGCUUCUGUACACCUCAAGACAAUUAUGGGAAGUUAUGUUCUGCUACCCCCAAAAUGACAUCUGGAAUGACCAGCUGUGGGGGAUACUGGGAAACGUCUAGUACUGCGUGUUUGUGUUCGUCUCAUACACAUGGAGAUGUGAAGCCAAGAUCUCAAAACAUUUCAAGACCAAGUUCAGCUGAAGCAGAGGAGAGAAGCUCUGCUGGGACUUAACCUCAACGCUUGUGCUGUCGGUAGGUGGCAAAGCCAUUAAUGUGCCAAGUGGCCAGAUCUGUCAGAUGAACACAGAUGAAGAGGGAAGACUUGCAUGUCCCAGACCCAAUUAAACAUAAAAGCCAGAAGGAGCUGAUAAGCAGGGGGGAAGGAAGGGAACCUAGAUCCACACCACUCAAACAGCUAGCACGUCGGCAUCAUUUUCAGAGAAGCACUCAUAAGAUCUUUGAUCUCGAGAAUAAUUUUUACAACUUUCCUCCAAAAGUGCCCUCUUAGAAAAUCAUCACGCGAUGCCAUCAGCAUCACUUUUAAACUCUGUUCUCACUUCUCUUCCUCUUGCCACCACUCGAGGAGGAAUAUCGGGAUCAAUCCCAGCAGCUCUAUGUGAAGACGGACCGGUAUGCCCAUCAGAAUCUCAGCAAGGACUACUCUCGGCCUUGGUUUUUCUCUGAUUCCUCUGGGCUGCAUGUCAUGAAAAUGGAAAGCAACUCCUGAGACCAGUGACUGCCCCGUCCCUCAGGAGAACACAGUCUUUCAGACCUAGAGUAGGUCCACUUUGUUCAGCGUUUCAGUGGCCAGACACCACAGAAGACCAGCUCUGUGAUGGGAAGCUGUAUAGGGAACCAUCCAUUCUCCAUUACAGGAGCUGCCCUAGAGAAUUUUCAUCAAUCCAAGAGCCGUGUAAAGCCAGUUGAUCCGACAGGGUGGAUUGCCAUGUCUGCCAUUAGCUGCUUGCCCUCUGAGUUACUAUAAAGACUGAUUUGCAUAUAUUACUACGUGAAGGAAACUCCCACUAGGAUGUUGGCAAUUCAGGGAGGCAAUAAUGAACGCUUCCUUCUUCCCUUCCCAAUUAUGGGGCAACAGGAGUCAGAUAGAGGGAAAUUAAAAUAUUAUAUUGGAUUAUGUGGCAGUACUACUAUGAUUAUAGGUUCAAGUUGGCCCCAGACUCACAAGACAUGAUAGGUUUUGAUCUCAUGUUACAUUCAGGGGGGCUUUAUAGGAAGAUAUAAAACAUGGUGUGUGGUAGCUACAGCAUCUUCAUGUUAUCAGGAUGCUGGGCAGCAAGCCAGGGACCAGCUCUUUUUGCCCUGUCUCCUAAGUGGUGUGCAGGGCUGCCAAGGACAUGAAUGAGAGUUGAGCUUGAAGAAGCCGUAACUCCUCUUCCCCAUUAAUGGCUCAUGGCAUUCUAGACAUGCAGGCCCCAAGCCUAUGCCAACCCACAUCUCCCAACCAUCCACAUCUCCCCAGCCCUAGCACAGAGCCACCCAGUGGCAUGGGAGAGACACUCCCCCCCCCCCCCAUUUAUCUUUACUCAGCUCUUGUAAUACAGUUCUGAGGGGGGCAUUUGUGGGCCUGACCUCAGCACUUCUCUGACCAUCACUAACUAUAUGUCUCCAAUCAGUGCCUGAUCCUCUCUACCCAACCUGCUCCUCCACAGCCUUCCCACCUUGGUCAAGUCUGACCUACCUGCCAGUGGUGCAGACCGGGCACCUUGGAGGAAUCCGCAGCUCCUUUUUUCAUCCAUGUACCACACCUACUGCCACCACCCUGCCCAGGCCUCCAUCGUUCCUGGCCUGGGUGAUUCCAAGAGCCACCCAGCUGGUCUUCCGCUUUGUCCCUUUGCCUCCCGUGGCUCCCCAUCAACGGGUGAUUUUAAGCAAGGUAGGCAGCCUGAGCCCUCAAAAAAGAGAAAAGAGAAGAAAUACAUUCUUCCUCUGCUCAAGGCCAUCGGAGGACCUCUUGCUUUCUAGUCCCAUUCAUUCAUAAAAGGGAGCUGGACUCCUUGGAGAAAUGGCUGAUUCUAAGACUGGGGCAGGGAGCAGAAAAGAUGAGCCAGAAGGGAGUUCCCGUUGUGGCUCAGUGGGUUAAGAACCCGAAUAG